RNAcentral lists this ribosomal RNA (497 nucleotides) under uncultured bacterium. RNAcentral's name for it is "partial 16S ribosomal RNA". It matches the Rfam family "Bacterial small subunit ribosomal RNA", at positions 29 to 507 of the family's 1533-position model. The record is from RNAcentral.
AGUGAACGCUGGCGGUAUGCCUAAUACAUGCAAGUCGAGCGACAGCACGGUAAGCUUUUUCCUUUGCGGUUAGCGGCUGACGGACGGGUAACACAUCCAUCACCUACCUCUAAGACUUGGGGAACUUCGGAAAAACACUGACAAUACCGCAUAAUAUAUCGAACCGCAUAGUUCACUGGUUCUACACACCUUUCCUGUUACUACUAGCUGCAUUCGAGCCGGCUUAGUUGGUGGGUAAGGGAACGGCUAACCAACGAAACGAUGCGUAGCCGAACUGAGAGGGUGAUCGGCCACACUGGAACUGAGACACGGUCCAGACUCCUACGGGAGGCAGCAGUGGGGAAUAUUAGGCAAUGGGCGCAAGCCUGACCCAGCAAUGCCGCGUGAGUGAAGAAGGUCUUCGGGUCGUAAAACUCUUUUAUUAGGAAAGAAAAAAUGUGUAAGAAAACCUGGACGUCUUGACGGUACCUAAUGAGAAAGCAACGGCUAACUACGUG